UGGUCUUUACGAAUAAAAAACAUACCUACACUUGUUCCCUACGAGAUUUCAUCUUUUAAAAACGUUGCAUUACAUAUUGAAACUUGUUGUAAGAACUCCCUUUUAAUGUAGCAAAUGCAAGAAUCGUUCCAGCCUAAACGAGCAUCACUUUGUAAAAUUGCUCAUAAGCCAUGCUCAAGCUUUAGAAAUAGAGCUCAAACACUUGUAUGUUAGACGGACUCGAGCCUAGUCAAGCUCGGACUUGACUUAUUUACACCAUUUCAUUUGCCAACAAAUCUUUUAGCCCAUUAAUGAGUCCGGUAUCUCAAACACAACACUAGAACAUCCAGUCUGAUGAAGAUGAAUUCUAUUGUCCCUAUCAAGAAAAAUAUUCCUGCUUGUGAAAAUCUAAUCAUGCAAAGUUCCCAAAGUGUCCUCUUCCCUAAAAGCAAAAAUCACUAAAAGGUAGGUCUUGCCAUUCUACAGUUUUAGAAAACAAACAAAAAAAGUAAUGGUGUUUCGAGGCGUGGAUGAGAAGGAUUUGUAUGAAUCAAGGUUGAAUAAGAAAAACACAACUUAAAAUUGAAACUUUUCGACAAACCCAUAAUUAAAAUAGCUCAAACCCGUACUAUGAUACCAUCAUUUAUGUUCAUUACACUGAAAUUAUAUAUACAUAUUAAAAACCAAACGUUUUGAACAAUGUCUAUCUUGGGUGUUUGCCUAUUACUGGGUGAUUUUGCCAACUGAUAAAAACCUAAACCCCCUUUCUCUCCUCUGUUCCUCUGUAAUAAAAAACAAGAGCCAGCUUUUACAAAAGCAUCCAACGUCAGACUAUCAUGGUGGCGGAAUCAUGUGACGGAAAGACGGUGUGUCUGUGGUGUGGACGGAGAGGAAAGGAAACGGCUGGGGCGAUUCCUCAGGCUGAAGAAGAUGACGGCAUGAGGCACUCCAGCGACGAGUAUAGGGUUUUUCUCGGAACCCUAAGAAUGUUGACGGCGAUAGUUCCAAAAGAUGAAUAAAAGGGGUCCGAUGAGUAUUCUGGCCGCAAGCAAACCAGGGUUCAGGUGACGGUGGAUGGCGACCUCAGGUAUAAGUUAAGGCUGCAUCACUUAAUGAAUAGAGACUUCAUUCUGGCGAUGGCAGUUUGAAAUUGAACCAAUGACGUCGUCUCCUCCUUACACUGCCGCUGCUUCCUCCUCCUUCUCCAACACGCAGCCGAUGGUGUUUCUUUUGUUGAGAAGUGUGAUGGAGAUAAAAAUUAGGAUUCCGCGAUGUCUUCUGGUAAAGUUCCAACCAAACUCAGGUAAGCUUCGAUUCUAUUGCAUGUUGUCGUAUUGAUUCCGCGAUUGUCUGUCCAGAAACUUCUGAGAACCUUUGUUACAUGAGACCGUGAAUGGUGUUUGGUUUAUCAAGGUAUGCAUUAGUCUCUCAUUCUGUUCCAUGUAUUUUCGUGGUUGUUUUAAUUUGAAAUUGAGGUAGUUCAUUUAGUAUUCUUGGUCAGGAUUUCGGUUUUCCUUUGGUAUGUUGUUAAAUUUGUUUUUGGCUAAGGUUUUAGGGUUUUUUACAGGUUUUGUUCUACUGUAGGACAUGUUGAAGGUAAGUGUGCUCUUAAUUUGUUUUCUCCAUUUUUAGUUUGUUUUAAGAAUUGUUAUCAUUUUUUGUUUUGCUUACUGCAUUAGUUCAUUUUUGGAUAUCAAGUUGUUGGUUAUAUUUAUUUUUUUAAGAUAAGAGUAUUUUUUCAUCUGUUAAUGUCUAAUGAUAUUUGUAUUUCUUAUUUUCAGGUUUCUGUGUUGAUGUUGCUGGGUUUGCUCUCAGUGUUGAUUCGGUAACUUGAUGGUCUACUUUGCUUUUUUGCUUUGUGUAAGCAAGGACAAAGCCAAAAGAAUAGAAGUUUUGAGACAAGUCUUCCAUUUGCUUCUUUGGAGGUGUAGUUUCUGAGGAAAAAUAUCUGAUACUUCACUUAAAUCAAGUUUGACUAAAACUGGCAUCAACGAUGAGCAAAGAGCUACAUUAUGGAAAAGAUGAAGUUGAGGGAGAGGGGAACGGGAUACCAGUUGCUGGACACAGUCAAAUGUUAAUAACAUCAGGUAUAAUACUCUAUUUUUUAAAAGUUGAAAAAGCAAAAUAAAAAUGAAUUAAGUGAGAGUACCUAAACCGGCUAAUUUGGGCAAAAAGGAAAAUGUGAAUAUGGGAGCAUUUGGAUCAACUCAAAUUGACAAUGGUUAAUUUUUUUCAAUUCAAACUAGACAACGGGUCAAUUUGUGUCUACCCUUCCUAAAUUUAAAAUAUAUAAAAAGAACAUUUUGCUGAGGUAGCAAUGAGAAGGGUCACGCUAUUUUUUUAACCAAUUGUAUAUUUUCUAGAUUGAGUUGGUUAGUACAUUAACAAAACAUAAGGGCUAUAUUCUCUUGGAAAUGGAAGAAGAAAGAAGAUUAUAUUUUGAGUAGCGAAACUGGAGAAUGGAAGCAACAAUAUAAAUUUCAUUCCAUAUUAAAUAUAGUAAUUUAUAAAUGGGUUUUCCACUUCUUUUAUAUUAAUUAGUAACAUAUGAUUUUAACAAUGUCAUCAUUGUGGAACCUGCUCUUGAUGUUGAUUGGCACAACAAUGUCUCAUUUGCAACGUGUUCAAUUGAUAACGUGAUUUAUGUUUGUAAAGCUGGAGAUUAUAGACCUGUAAAAGCUCAGGGUUAAGUUUAUUGCUGGUGUACCAAAGAAUGUUAAGCUAGAGAAUAUUCGCAGGUGGUUAUCAUGUUUGUGGGUUAAUUGAAGGCAUUGACUAGAACGUUUUAUGUUUGGGGACGAGUUGGGAGUCCCAAGAGGAACUUACCAUGGCAUUGGCUCGCAAGGGCCAUGUCAACGUUCUCUUCGCCCCACUCAAACUGCACCACAUUCGAGUGCUUUUCAAACCGCUCCUACAGCAACAAGAAAACUCAAAGACUUUUGUUAUUAUAGCUGCCUUGAUUUAGAUGAACUAAAGAUUUGAAGAGCGACUUUUCAGCUGCAGUGGAUUGGAGAUAGCUACAGUGAACUGGAGAUAGCUACAGGGGGUUUAUAGAAGAUUAUUCACAAGUAGGAAAAAGGUAGUUUGUCAAUAUGAUUGCAAAGAGGUGGGUUUACAGAAGAUGAAUCACAAGUAAAAGAUUAAUCACAAUUAGGAAGGUAGUUUGUUAAUAUGAUUGCAAAGAUGCAAUGAUUAUGAUAGAAACCCGAGUCCAAUGUUAGUUAAAAAAUAAUUUAGGUUAUGAGUUGUAAUGUAAUGAUUCGGUUUAGCGCAAUUGCGUUAUGAGUUUACGUACAUGUUAUCACA
Molecule: long non-coding RNA, 3285 nt
Organism: Helianthus annuus (common sunflower)
Lineage: Eukaryota; Viridiplantae; Streptophyta; Magnoliopsida; Asterales; Asteraceae
Exons: 3
Source: RefSeq, a predicted model, not a curated record